CUCGUACGAGCAAUGUACUCGAAUGGUAUAGAUGUCGAAAUUGUGUUGCUUUGAUCAUCCUUGCUCCUCAAAUCGAUGACUCUCCUUUCAAUUCCAUUGAGAAAAAUUCCAGGUCCCCGACCUUAUCCGUUAAGAAUUUUGAAUUGUGAGUGCUCCCACAUCGAUUUCCAUCUCCAAAUUCCUCCCAUAAGUUUUUCUAUAUAAACC
Molecule: long non-coding RNA, 207 nt
Filed under: Solanum tuberosum (potato)
Lineage: Eukaryota; Viridiplantae; Streptophyta; Magnoliopsida; Solanales; Solanaceae
Description: long non-coding RNA (STUB_LNC011417)
Source: RNAcentral